This 513-nucleotide long non-coding RNA is filed under the name Parus major (Great Tit). RNAcentral describes it as "lncRNA (ENSPMJG00000004352.1)". The record is from RNAcentral. Lineage: Eukaryota; Metazoa; Chordata; Aves; Passeriformes; Paridae.
CCCACUCCUUCUCGGCACCCAGUUCAAGGCUUUUCCUGGGAGCCCGUGCACAGUAAAGAGCCAGGAGAUGCUUUUCCAGGUGUCUCUCCCUCCAAAGCAGGGAACCAGGGCUCUUCUGCGGUUUUCUGCUGUGUGGAGGCUCCUGGUGAUGCUCUGAGCAAGGCCACAGUGGUCAGAGGUCCAGGCAGUCACUCAGGCUCAGGGCUCUGCAGGACAGGUCUCAGCAGCAGCUGGACACUCUCCAAAGACCCACCACCCCUUCUCCAGCUCUGGCUUUUCUCCCUCUCUUGGCCCUGGGCUGGCACUGGGUGUUCUGGAGAACAGAGGUGUUUUUCAAGGCUCAGGACAUUGUAUAGGAUGGGAAAAAGCCUUUUCUGCACUUCCCUCCCUGAUGGUUAUCUCAGAAAGCAUUACAAGAUGCUUUUGGAGAAGGAUGCACUGCGUUGUGCUGGGGACCUGAAGAGGUGACUCCACUCAGGAGCUGAGUUCUCAUCACGAUGUGAAAGCUGUGCU